This 791-nucleotide ribosomal RNA is filed under the name uncultured bacterium. RNAcentral's name for it is "bacterial SSU rRNA". It matches the Rfam family "Bacterial small subunit ribosomal RNA", at positions 60 to 866 of the family's 1533-position model. The record is from RNAcentral.
AGUCGAACGGACGAUGAAGAGCUUGCUUUUCAAGUUAGUGGCGGACGGGUGAGUAACGCGUGGGUAACCUGCCUCAUACAGGGGGAUAGCAGCUGGAAGCGGCUGAUAAAACCGCAUAAGCGCACAGCAUCGCAUGAUGCAGUGUGAAAAACUCCGGUGGUAUGAGAUGGACCCGCGUCUGAUUAGCUGGUUGGUGAGGUAACGGCCCACCAAGGCGACGAUCAGUAGCCGGCCUGAGAGGGUGACCGGCCACAUUGGGACUGAGACACGGCCCAAACUCCUACGGGAGGCAGCAGUGGGGAAUAUUGCACAAUGGGGGAAACCCUGAUGCAGCGACGCCGCGUGAAGGAAGAAGUAUCUCGGUAUGUAAACUUCUAUCAGCAGGGAAGAUAAUGACGGUACCUGACUAAGAAGCCCCGGCUAACUACGUGCCAGCAGCCGCGGUAAUACGUAGGGGGCAAGCGUUAUCCGGAUUUACUGGGUGUAAAGGGAGCGUAGGCGGCGGAGCAAGUCAGAAGUGAAAGCCCGGGGCUCAACCCCGGGACGGCUUUUGAAACUGCCCUGCUUGAUUUCAGGAGAGGUAAGCGGAAUUCCUAGUGUAGCGGUGAAAUGCGUAGAUAUUAGGAGGAACACCAGUGGCGAAGGCGGCUUACUGGACUGACAAUGACGCUGAGGCUCGAAAGCGUGGGGAGCAAACAGGAUUAGAUACCCUGGUAGUCCACGCCGUANACGAUGAAUACUANGUGUCGGGGCUCAUAAGAGCUUCGGUGCCGCAGCAAACGCAAUAAGUA